GUCAUCAUUCAAAGCUGUAUCAAUCCAUGAGAAGAAAGCUGAGGGAAGGAGAGGGGGACGGAGGAAAAGGUACAUUGUGCGUGCAUGAUACAUGAUAGCCGCCAUCUCACAACACAUUAAUCUUCACUCGCAACAAGAGACAGGCCAACUCCUGGGGGCUUCGCCACUAUAACCCUCUCCUCCUCAUUCAUGAAGAUAAAUGCCCUCAGAGUGAUCAGCCAUCAUGUAUUCUUUAUGCAUGUGCCAGAUGGCUGUCUUGUAAGUUAGCCAGAGAGAAAUCUUCACUAAGGAGAGCAAACAGGCAGGGCUGUGAGCCGCGAGCUUCCCUCAGGUGUGACAUCCAUGCUGCCCAGACGUUCGGCAUGCCUGCUGGCAGGUCAUCCUUCCCCACACAGGGAUCCAGGGCUGAGCUGCAACGGGGGAGCCCCCUUCCCAUGGAGGUCACCAUUACUUCCCCGUGGGCCUCCAAGGCUGCAAAUGACAGGGUUUUCCUAAAUCCAUCCUAAGGAGCGUCUCACGCAAUGGUGGUGAGGAAAGAGCAAAGAGUAAAAUGGGUGUGGAGCUUUCUGGGGCUUGAGGAACAAGCUGUGACAGCACGUUGCCUGGCAUGAUCUUGUGCUUGCUUUCUCUCUUCCUUUCUUCUAGAGGUCGGAUGUUUGUGACCUCACAUCACCCAGCAAGGCACCCGGUGCCACAAAGGUCCAUGCUGGUUUUGGAAGAUGCUGAGCACCAGUUGCUUUCCCCAGCAGCAGGGUUGUUCAAAAGUUGGCUUUGCAGCAUGUUGCUUCCCAGAGGAGCCCAAUACACAUCUCAAGCUCUGCUAUACUCCACUGGGCCUACUGGGAGUCGGCUCUCUCAGAAGACAAGAGCAGCAACGUGGCAGCACAGUGCCUAUGUGGAAGGAAAGGAAAAACUUUGAUGCUGACAAAAGGACAAGCUCCAUCUCUCACAACCAGAAGAGACCAGGCAGCACCUCCUAAUCCUAAGGUUAGCAGGUCCAUUUCCCUGCUAACAUCUCAGAAAUCUGUGCUAACUUCACGAGUGCCCUCCAAACCCA
RNAcentral lists this long non-coding RNA (1057 nucleotides) under Anas platyrhynchos platyrhynchos (common mallard). RNAcentral describes it as "lncRNA (ENSAPLG00000017380.1)". Lineage: Eukaryota; Metazoa; Chordata; Aves; Anseriformes; Anatidae. The record is from RNAcentral.